CUCGUAGGCGGUUCGUCGCGUCCGGUGUGAAAGUCCAUCGCUUAACGGUGGAUCCGCGCCGGGUACGGGCGGGCUUGAGUGCGGUAGGGGAGACUGGAAUUCCCGGUGUAACGGUGGAAUGUGUAGAUAUCGGGAAGAACACCAAUGGCGAAGGCAGGUCUCUGGGCCGUCACUGACGCUGAGGAGCGAAAGCGUGGGGGAGCGAACA
Molecule: ribosomal RNA, 208 nt
Filed under: uncultured bacterium
Lineage: Bacteria
Description: partial 16S ribosomal RNA
Rfam family: Bacterial small subunit ribosomal RNA
Source: RNAcentral